RNAcentral lists this ribosomal RNA (253 nucleotides) under uncultured bacterium. RNAcentral's name for it is "partial 16S ribosomal RNA". It matches the Rfam family "Bacterial small subunit ribosomal RNA", at positions 524 to 776 of the family's 1533-position model. The record is from RNAcentral.
UACGAAGGGGGCGAGCGUUGUUCGGAAUUACUGGGCGUAAAGGGCGCGCAGGCGGCUCUGAAAGUCAGAUGUGAAAGCCCCGGGCUUAACCUGGGAAUUGCAUUUGAUACUCUGGAGCUUGAGUGUGGGAGAGGAGAGUGGAAUUCCCAGUGUAGAGGUGAAAUUCGUAGAUAUUGGGAAGAACACCGGUGGCGAAGGCGGCUCUCUGGACCACAACUGACGCUGAGGCGUGAAAGCGUGGGGAGCAAACAGG